AAGCAGUUUCUCGUCAGCGGAAUGAGGGAGCCUUCUGCUCGCCUGGUAAAGAGAUGCAACACCUGGGGAACCCCUUAUUCAAACAAAAAUCUCAAGUGGGACUGAAGUGGAGCCACUUGGCUGAGGAGGAGAGGACCCUGCACCGGACACUGCUUGCCAAGAGACACCACCUGGCAUCCAAAUGGAAUUUCUGCCCACCUGCUCCUACUCCACUGGCAGCCUUUUGCAUUUUUUUUUUACUGGGAUAAAAUUCGCAUACUAUAAAAUUUGCCAUAUUACAGUGUAAAUUUCAGUGGUUUUUAGUGUAUUCACAAGGUUGUGCAAUCAUCCCCACUAAUUCCAGCACAUUUUCAUCAUCCAAAAAGAAACCCUGUAUCUGUUAGGAGUCACUCCCCCUUCCUUCCUCUUCUCAGCCCCUGGAAACCACUAAUUUACUUCCUGUCUAUGUAUUUACCUGUUCUGGACAUUGCAUAUAAAUGGAACCACACAAUAUGUGCGUUUUUGAAUCUAGUUUCUUUCACAUACCAUAGUGUUUUCAAGGUUUAUCCAUGUAUCAGUACUUCAUUGCUUUUAAGGCAAACCUGUAUUUCAAAGAACCUUUCUCUGCAGCAGAUUUUGCACAAUUACACUUGAAAAUUGGCAGCUCAACUUUUUUGUUAGCUUUUUUGGCAGCUCAAUAGGAAAGUUCAACUUUUUUCCCCCACAUAAACUGCUCGCUUAUUAGCAUCGGUACUGCAGCAUAACAGCUUCCAAGAGAUAUGCUGAGCUGCACGGAUGUGGCAGAAUGAGGCAAGGCUCAGGUGCAUGGAUGGUGGGCUGUUUCUUCCACCUUUUCUUGUAGCAGUCCCACUUGGCUGAGAAGCCCUGGAUCGGGCUGACCUUCAUGCUGAGCAUCCGAAAACAACAUUUUAAGCAUGGUCGUACUGGAAAUUUUGGCAAGACUUUUACUCAGUACCUAGAUGUGUAUAAAUGUACAUAAGACAAACCUAGUAAGCAUGACCUGGGGAAAUGGUCAGAAGUUGUAUUGUGUUUUUGGCCUUGAGAGUAACAAGCGACUAGAAUCUGCCAUGGCAGCAGGCUUUAAAAAGACCCUUAAAAAGACACCGUCUCGACUGUGGUGUAGCACCAGCCAGUUCUCUGUACAUUUGCUAGCUUGUAGUUUUCUAAGACUGAGUAAACUUCUUAUUUUUAGAAAGUGGAGGUCAGGUUUGUAACUUUCCUUGUACUUAAUUGGGUAAUGGUCUUUUCCACAAACCACUAUCUACUUUGUGAACUGUUAGUCAUCUUUUAUUUGGUAAAUUAUGAAGUGGUAUAAAUUUGUACAGUUCAUGUAUAUUGAUUGUGGCAAAGUUGGAAAGAUUUCUGUAUUUUGGAUGGGAAAUUUUUCUUCUCUUUAUAAUAAAUUGUUUCUUAUCUUGGCAUUAAAAAAUA
Hyaena hyaena (striped hyena) is the source of this 1431-nucleotide long non-coding RNA. RefSeq lists it as uncharacterized. The transcript is spliced from 2 exons. The record is from RefSeq and is a predicted model, not a curated record. NCBI's taxonomy places the organism in Eukaryota, Metazoa, Chordata, Mammalia, Carnivora, Hyaenidae.